AACACAUGCAAGUCGAACGCGAAAGUCCCGCAAGGGAUAAGUAGAGUGGCAGACGGGUGAGUAAUGCAUAGGUAAUCUACCCUUGAGUGGGGGAUAACUCCGGGAAACCGGUGCUAAUCCCGCAUAACUUCCAGAUGCACAAGCAUUUGGAUCAAAGGGGGGGAUCCUUCGGGACCUCCUGCUUGAGGUUGAGCCUAUGUCCUAUUAGCUAGUUGGUGAGGUAACGGCCCACCAAGGCUUUGAUGGGUAGCCGAGCUGAGAGGCUGAUCGGCCACACUGGAACUGAAACACGGUCCAGACUCCUACGGGAGGCAGCAGUGGGGAAUUUUGCGCAAUGGGCGAAAGCCUGACGCAGCGACGCCGCGUGAGGGAUGAAGGUCUUAGGAUUGUAAACCUCUGUCAGGAAGCAUUAAAUGUGCGGAUAUCAACACCAUCCGUACUUGACUUAACUUCCAGAGGAAGCCCCGGCUAACUACGUGCCAGCAGCCGCGGUAAUACGUAGGGGGCAAGCGUUACUCGGAUUUAUUGGGCGUAAAGAGAAUUAAGGCGGUCAUGUAAGUCAGUGGUGAAAUCCCCCGGCUCAACUGGGGAAUUGCCUCUGAUACUGCGUGACUUGAGGACAGGAGAGGGAGGCGGAAUUCCCGGUGUAGCGGUGGAAUGCGUAGAUAUCGGGAGGAACACCUGANGCGAAGGCGGCUUUCUGGACUGGUCCUGACGCUGAUAUUCGAAAGCUAGGGGAGCAAACAGGAUUAGAUACCCUGGUAGUCCUAGCUGUAAACGAUGGAUACUAGAUCUUGCAUGAUUUUGCUUGGUCGAAGCUAACGCGUUAAGUAUCCCGCCUGGGGGAGUACGGU
Molecule: ribosomal RNA, 854 nt
Filed under: uncultured bacterium
Lineage: Bacteria
Description: bacterial SSU rRNA
Rfam family: Bacterial small subunit ribosomal RNA
Source: RNAcentral